This 403-nucleotide ribosomal RNA is filed under the name Fusobacteriota bacterium. Its description in RNAcentral is "Fusobacteria bacterium partial 16S ribosomal RNA". It matches the Rfam family "Bacterial small subunit ribosomal RNA", at positions 355 to 776 of the family's 1533-position model. The record is from RNAcentral. Lineage: Bacteria; Fusobacteriati; Fusobacteriota.
UGGGGAAUCUUGCACAAUGGGGGAAACCCUGAUGCAGCGACGCCGCGUGAGCGAUGAAGGUUUUCGAAUCGUAAAGCUCUGUCCUAUGGGAAGAUAAUGACGGUACCAUGGGAGGAAGCCCCGGCUAACUACGUGCCAGCAGCCGCGGUAAUACGUAGGGGGCGAGCGUUGUCCGGAAUUACUGGGCGUAAAGGGUUCGCAGGCGGCAUGGCAAGUCCGAUGUAAAAGGCGAAGGCUCAACCUUCGUAAGCAUCGGAAACUGUCAAGCUUGAGUGAAGGAGAGGCAAGUGGAAUUCCUAGUGUAGCGGUGGAAUGCGUAGAUAUUAGGAGGAAUGCCGGUGGCGAAGGCGACUUGCUGGACUUCAACUGACGCUGAGGAACGAAAGCGUGGGUAGCAAACAGG